AUAGCAAGCACACUCGGGCCGAUUCUGGCUGAAAUGCGGCACUGUCGGCUCAGUCACGACGUCGGUGAGAAGAUAAUGGGCCAGAGCCGCGCCGACUCUACAAAACACUUCUGGUUGACAGACGGCUUUUUCUCUCUGGGCCGAUCUCGGCUGAAAGCUGUUGUACGCGCGGCAGGUCCGCACUCGGUGUAGUUGUGUGUCUCUACCUUCGGCCCGAGCUGGUUUUGUCUCCGGCGGCCGCUGCUAGAAUGAAGAUCCGCCUGAGAGAGAGAUUUGGCGGUUAAUCCUGAGGAGAUUUCGGCGGGCACAGGUCUCAAGAGGAAUACUUCAGCUGCAAAAAGGUAAAUUAAGUUAUUUAAUGAUCGAUCUAGUGUUGUUUGAUGUUUAAAUGCCAGGAGGAGUAUAGUUUUUAGAUGGUUUCUGCUAGGUUUGCGAUGAUAAUAGCGUCAGAAAAAUCAUUCGGUCCGGAUAUAUUGAGUGUUGAUGAGUAACGUUAGGCCUAACUGUCAGGCGCGGUCUCUUUAGGAAAACAAUAUGUAAUUUUUUUAAUAUGAAAAACCGAUGAGCUGUAUCCAGUGCACGAUAAUGUAAGGUAAUUAAAUUUUAAUGAGUUAAAUUCCAUUUUGUUUGCUAGAAUUCAUUCGAUUCAUCUUUUUCAACGAGUGAUUGCUAUUGAAUCAAAGGAGUCGGACCGCGCUGCUGGAGCCAUAAACAUCUAUACGAGUGACUCUGUCUGAUUCGAUUCACUGAACCAUUCAAAUGAGUCAUUUGUUUGUAAGUCAAACUGAGCACGCUAUAGUAGCAUUACACCUGCUAAGAUAAUUCAAUAUGUGCAAUCUGAAUUUAAUAAUAAUAUUUAUUUUGUGGUAACACUGCCGUGUGGGCAGCUCUGACAGAGAAAAACACUAUAGAUACGUAAGAGAAAGCCGUAAAAUGUAAGUGCAUCAUCUUUUGUUCUUGAAUGGAGGCCUAAUCUGUCUGCUGCACUUCAGCAGGUUCAGUUUUUAGAGUGAAUGAAAACUUCUGAAGCAUAGAUAUGCCGUGUGAUGUGAUUAAAAUCAUACUUAUUUUACUGUGGUGGGGAUUAUUAUGAGCAAACAAAUUUAAAAGUUUAAUCUGAACACUAUAUAUAUGUAAUCUGACAUUUAUUUAUUUUAUUUUUUUACAGAAAUUCUGAGCUGCUGCAUGAACAUUCAUCAAACAUAUAAGGCUGCAAUUUGGAAAAAAACUUUCAAGCUAAUGCUGCUGAAAUGGAGGUCAAGGGGACUAUGAAGAGGUGGCUUCCAGCUGAUCAAAAGUUACAAUAAUCAGCUGAUCCAGUCGGUAUCCAGACCAGACGGUGGACCUGCACCAGGAGUGACCACAACACAUCCCUGACUGUCAGCGGAGACCAUGUCAGCUAGAUGACAGAUCCCUGUGAAGACCUCACUGAUGGCCCCAGCACAGAUCCUCAGCAAAGACUACGAGAACCAGACAAGCCCUCUGCACAGACCCUUUUACCAGCUUCACCUGCUGGCGUGAUGUUACUUCAUGCAGAAGAAGUUGGAUGAAAUAUUCUGAAUGAUAUCAAUCCACAAUCUGACUUGUGAUGCAGCCUGGAAUAAUCACACCACGUUCAUUCGUUUGGCCAGACGAGACUGUUUCCUGACUGAGCCGGGUCUUGUUUGGGUUUGGGUUCCUUGUCACUGUUGCCUUUUGUCUUGCUUGGUUGAAGACACCUAAUAUUCAGCAAUAUUAUUGACUUGACUGCACUGACACCAUUUGAUAAGAACUGAACUGAAUUAUGACACACAAUGUUUUAUAUAUGAAGUUUAUUUGCAAAAACGGA
Long non-coding RNA from Onychostoma macrolepis, 1828 nucleotides. RefSeq lists it as uncharacterized. The transcript is spliced from 3 exons. The record is from RefSeq and is a predicted model, not a curated record. NCBI's taxonomy places the organism in Eukaryota, Metazoa, Chordata, Actinopteri, Cypriniformes, Cyprinidae.